This 772-nucleotide unclassified non-coding RNA is filed under the name Hevea brasiliensis (rubber tree). The record is from RNAcentral. Lineage: Eukaryota; Viridiplantae; Streptophyta; Magnoliopsida; Malpighiales; Euphorbiaceae.
AAAGAGCUACUGCACUGCUGUUAUGUCUUUAUUAAUUCCAAAGAAAUCCAUUUUAAAUUUUUCGGUAUAUCACAGUUUUAAGUUCAAUCAGAACAAAGAAUGCCCCAUCCUCCACCUUUCAGCUCCACCUUAGAGGGGAAAAUUAUUAAAAAGCUCCACAGCUUGAAGCUCUAAAAGUUGAAACCAUGGCAAUGUGGGAUGCAUCCUAACAUUAAAGACUUUCCUCGCUCUAAAAUAGUGCAUAAUGCCAUAAUCGCCUAUCAUUUGUUAUGAGCUUUAAGCGGUCGAGAUAUGACCACGUCCUUCAGUAAAGAGAAGGAUCAGUUGUUGCCUUAGUACACGCCAAAUAUCUCUUCUGGAGGAUCAUAAACAUGUUUUUCAGGGAAAAGCUCCUCAUAAUCUUGCUUCACUCUGCUCCUAAGAAGUGGGUGUGGUAAAAGCCCCUUCAACAAAAUCCUAAAGGGUAAUUCCUCUGGUGGAUCUGGGGACUUCUUCAUGUCCUCGUAUAUAUUCAUUGCAUCAGCAGGAGAGCCAUCCCUCAAGAAGCCCCUAAUGACUUCUGUGUACAUUUGAGAAUCUGGGAACAAAUUCUCAUUUCUCAUAGUUUUCCACAGCUUCAUUGCUUCAUCCAUUUUUCCACUUCUUGUUAAUGCAAUGACCAAGUCCUUGUAGAGAUAGACAUCGGGCGUAUACCAGUCUUGCUUUUGAAUGACUUGAAACAUCUUGAGAGCUAAGGAGACCUCCUCUUGGCGCUCAAGCUCAGUGAGGACAG